Molecule: ribosomal RNA, 510 nt
Filed under: uncultured diatom
Lineage: Eukaryota; Bacillariophyta
Description: SSU rRNA
Rfam family: Eukaryotic small subunit ribosomal RNA
Source: RNAcentral
CGGGCCUUCUUAGGUCUGGCAAUUGGAAUGAGAACAAUUUAAACCCCUUAUCGAGUAUCAAUUGGAGGGCAAGUCUGGUGCCAGCAGCCGCGGUAAUUCCAGCUCCAAUAGCGUAUAUUAAAGUUGUUGCAGUUAAAAAGCUCGUAGUUGGAUUUGUGGUGUGUCCAGUCGGCCUUUGCUCUUUGAGUGAUUGCGCUGUACUGGUCUGCCAUGUUUGGGUGGAAUCUGUGUGGCAUUAAGUUGUCGUACUGAGGGUGCCCAUCGUUUACUGUGAAAAAAUUAGAGUGUUCAAAGCAGGCUUAUGCCGUUGAAUAUAUUAGCAUGGAAUAAUGAUAUAGGACCUUGGUACUAUUUUGUUGGUUUGCGCACUAAGGUAAUGAUUAAGAGGGACAGUUGGGGGUAUUUGUAUUCCAUUGUCAGAGGUGAAAUUCUUGGAUUUUUGGAAGACAAACUACUGCGAAAGCAUUUACCAAGGAUGUUUUCAUUGAUCAAGAACGAAAGUAUGGGGAU